GCGGGUGUCGUAUAGUGGCUAUUACUUUACCUUGCCAAGGUAGAGACGGCGGUUCGAUUCCGCUCACCCGCUCCA
RNAcentral lists this transfer RNA (75 nucleotides) under Candidatus Parcubacteria bacterium A4. Its description in RNAcentral is "tRNA-Gly". It matches the Rfam family "tRNA". From Rfam's summary of the family: Transfer RNA (tRNA) molecules are approximately 80 nucleotides in length. The record is from RNAcentral. Lineage: Bacteria; Candidatus Parcubacteria.